This 1515-nucleotide ribosomal RNA is filed under the name uncultured prokaryote. Its description in RNAcentral is "partial 16S ribosomal RNA". It matches the Rfam family "Bacterial small subunit ribosomal RNA". The record is from RNAcentral.
AGAGUUUGAUCCUGGCUCAGAACGAACGCUGGCGGCAGGCUUCAUACAUGCAAGUCGAGCGGUAAGGCCUCUUCGGAGGUACACGAGCGGCGAACGGGUGAGUAACAGGUGGAUAAUCUGCCUCUUAGUGGGGAAUACCAGUUGGAAACGACUGUUAAAUACCGCAUACGAUUAUAUUUUCUUCGGAUUAUAUAAGGAAAGGGCCUUUUGGCCCGCUGAGAGAUGAGUCCGCCCCCCAUUAGGUAGUUGGUGUGAUAAAAGCGCACCAAGCCUACGAUGGGUAGCCGGACUGAGAGGUUGGCCGGCCACACUGGAACUGAGACACGGUCCAGACACCUACGGGUGGCAGCAGUAGGGAAUAUUGCGCAAUGAACGAAAGUUUGACGCAGCUAUGCCGCGUGGACGAUGAAGGCCUUCGGGUCGUAAAGUCCUUUUAUUAGGGAAGAACAAGCAGAGGAGUAAAAGCCUUUGCCCUGACGGUACCUAAUGAAUAAGCAACGGCUAACUCCGUGCCAGCAGCCGCGGUAAUACGGAGGUUGCAAGCGUUGUUCGGAAUUACUGGGCGUAAAGGGAGUGCAGGCGGUUUGGUCAGUCUGAAGUGAAAGCCCGGGCCUCAACCCCGGAAUUGCUUUGGAUACUUUCAAGCUUGAGUAUGUGAGAGGUGAGUGGAAUUCCUGGUGUAGCGGUGAAAUGCGUAGAUAUCAGGAAGAACACCGGUGGCGAAGGCGACUCUCUGGUCCAGUACUGACGCUGAGGCGCGAAAGCCAGGGGAGCGAACGGGAUUAGAUACCCCGGGUAGUCCACGCCGUAAACGUUGUGCACUAGGUGUGGGAGGACAUCGACCCCUUCUGUGCCGCAGCUAACGCAUUAAGUACACCGCCUGGGGAGUACGCGCGCAAGCGUGAAACUCAAAGGAAUUGACGGGGGCCCGCACAAGCGGUGGAGCAUGUGGUUUAAUUCGAGGCAACGCGAAGAACCUUACCCGGGUUUGACAUCCUGCGCUACUUUUGGAAACAAAAGAGGUUCUCUUCGGAGACGCAGAGACAGGUGUUGCAUGGCUGUCGUCAGCUCGUGUCGUGAGAUGUUGGGUUAAGUCCCGCAACGAGCGCAACCCUUAUCCAUAGUUACCAGCGGUUCGGCCGGGAACUCUAUGGAGACUGCCCGUGAUAAGCGGGAGGAAGGUGGGGACGACGUCAAGUCAUCAUGGCCCUUACGUCUGGGGCUACACACGUGCUACAAUGGCCGGAACAGUGAGCAGCAAAAUCGCGAGGUAGAGCUAAUCUCAAAAAUCCGGUCUCAGUUCGGAUUGGAGUCUGCAACUCGACUCCAUGAAGUUGGAAUCGCUAGUAAUCGCGUAUCAGCAAUGACGCGGUGAAUACGUUCCCGGGCCUUGUACACACCGCCCGUCACAUGACCCGAGUCGGUUGCACCCGAAGUCGCUGACCCAACCCGCAAGGGAGGGAGGUGCCGAAGGUGUGAUUGGUAAGGGGGAUGAAGUCGUAACAAGGUAGCCGU